RNAcentral lists this long non-coding RNA (975 nucleotides) under Betta splendens (Siamese fighting fish). RNAcentral's name for it is "lncRNA (ENSBSLG00000014141.1)". The record is from RNAcentral. Lineage: Eukaryota; Metazoa; Chordata; Actinopteri; Anabantiformes; Osphronemidae.
GGGAGCAAUGCAAAAAGAGUAAAUCUCCCAGAUCUACAUGUAACUACACUUUACAGCUUCUCCUCUCUCCUCUGCUUAUUUUGGUUUUUCUAAAUAUAGACAUCUGACAAGUCUCUCCGGACAUUGAUGUAUGGACUGUGAACUCCUGACCCAAUGAAAAGCAACAAGAGGGACUGUUGCCGCACAGCAUGGAGCAUGUCAGGGGUCACAAUGGCUCUGCUUCGUGACGGCUCAGCCCGUGAUUACGCAGACGCGCUUCCCACACGACGACAACGCCAAACCGUGGAGAGGCUCCGAGACGACGUCGGCGGCCCAGCUGUUUGUGUGACUUCCACUGAUCCGCUCCAUUCAGCUCAGUCAAUGGGAGCAGCGGCGGCGCCUGCAGAGGGGAGGGGAGGGGGGGGGGGGGGGGGGGGGUCAGCAGGCUGCAGUUGGGCGCAAAACAACGGCGUGUUCGCAGGAGGAGACGUCACGCUGCUGGGACGAUCUCCCCGUCGUUCGGCUCCAGUUCGCCACGACUCCGUGGUGCCGUUUUAUGUUUUGCUUUGCACUUGUAAAGUGAUGCGUACGCGCGAGCGCGUUGCGGUGUGUGCAACGGAGAGAGGGAGGGAGGCAGGGAGCGCGCGCCAUAGGCUAAAGUGUGCAGUAUCAUGCUGCAGCAGCGCCAGGUAGGCAGCAAACACGCUGCGCGCGCUGCGUCUCCGUGGAGCAGAGACAGACACAAGGCCUGAGUCCAGCAGCCAAAGAUUAAUGAAGACAAGGCAGCAGGCACGUAUUCUUUACUUCAUUUUGAUCACGGGCAGACUAAACAAAAUAACCUAAUAACAUGAGAUAAGGUAAUAACAUAGCAGCCUCUAAUACUAUUAUAAUAAUGAUAAAUAUGGCAAAGCAAAAAAAGUGUUUUGCCACGUGCAUGUCAGAGUAAAUAUGAACAAUACCCCUAAUAAUAAAAUAUUAAAUGCAUUCCUAAAGGCA